UUGUUUGUUGUACUCGGUCUAG
This 22-nucleotide non-coding RNA is filed under the name Arabidopsis thaliana (thale cress). The record is from RNAcentral. Lineage: Eukaryota; Viridiplantae; Streptophyta; Magnoliopsida; Brassicales; Brassicaceae.